CCUUACCUGGCCUUGACAUACUAAGAACUUUCCAGAGAUGGAUUGGUGCCUUCGGGAACUUAGAUACAGGUGCUGCAUGGCUGUCGUCAGCUCGUGUCGUGAGAUGUUGGGUUAAGUCCCGCAACGAGCGCAACCCUUUUCCUUAUUUGCCAGCGGGUUAAGCCGGGAACUUUAAGGAUACUGCCAGUGACAAACUGGAGGAAGGCGGGGACGACGUCAAGUCAUCAUGGCCCUUACGGCCAGGGCUACACACGUGCCACAAUGGUCGGUACAAAGGGUUGCUACCUCGCGAGAGGAUGCUAAUCUCAAAAAGCCGAUCGUAGUCCGGAUCGCAGUCUGCAACUCGACUGCGUGAAGUCGGAAUCGCUAGUAAUCGCGGAUCAGAAUGCCGCGGUGAAUACGUUCCCGGGCCUUGUACACACCGCCCGUCACACCAUGGGAGUUUGUUGCACCAGAAGUAGGUAGUCUAACCGCAAGGAGGACGCUUACCACGGUGUGGCCGAUGACUGGGGUGAAGUCGUAACAAGGUAAGCGUAGAUGA
This 541-nucleotide ribosomal RNA is filed under the name uncultured bacterium. Its description in RNAcentral is "bacterial SSU rRNA". It matches the Rfam family "Bacterial small subunit ribosomal RNA", at positions 969 to 1509 of the family's 1533-position model. The record is from RNAcentral.